Molecule: ribosomal RNA, 440 nt
Filed under: uncultured bacterium
Lineage: Bacteria
Description: partial 16S ribosomal RNA
Rfam family: Bacterial small subunit ribosomal RNA
Source: RNAcentral
CCUACGGGAGGCAGCAGUAGGGAAUAUUGCACAAUGGGGGAAACCCUGAUGCAGCGACGCCGCGUGGGUGAAGAAGUAUUUCGGUAUGUAAAGCUCUAUCAUCAGGGAAGAUAAUGACGGUACCUGAUGAAUAAGCACCGGCUAACUACGUGCCAGCAGCCGCGGUAAUACGUAGGGGGCAAGCGUUAUCCGGAUUUACUGGGCGUAAAGGGAGCGUAGACGGGAGAACAAGUCUGAAGUGAAAUCCCUGGGCUUAACCCUGGAACUGCUUUGGAAACUGUUAAGCUAGAGUACAGGAGAGGUAGGUGGAAUUCUUGGUGUAGCGGUGAAAUGCGUAGAUAUCAGGAGGAAUACCAGUGGCGAAGGCGGCUUACUAGAAUAUAACUGACGUUGAGGCUCGAAAGCGUGGGGAGCAAACAGGAUUAGAUACCCCUGUAGUC